This 612-nucleotide ribosomal RNA is filed under the name uncultured bacterium. RNAcentral describes it as "bacterial SSU rRNA". It matches the Rfam family "Bacterial small subunit ribosomal RNA", at positions 877 to 1491 of the family's 1533-position model. The record is from RNAcentral.
GGAGUACGGCUGCAAGGUUAAAACUCAAAUGAAUUGACGGGGGCCCGCACAAGCGGUGGAGCAUGUGGUUUAAUUCGAUGCAACGCGAAGAACCUUACCUGGUCUUGACAUCCACGGAAGUUUUCAGAGAUGAGAAUGUGCCUUCGGGAACCGUGAGACAGGUGCUGCAUGGCUGUCGUCAGCUCGUGUUGUGAAAUGUUGGGUUAAGUCCCGCAACGAGCGCGACCCUUGUCAUUAGUUGCUACAUUCAGUUGGGCACUCUAAUGAGACUGCCGGUGACAAGCCGGAGGAAGGUGGGGAUGACGUCAAGUCCUCAUGGCCCUUAUAGGUGGGGCUACACACGUCAUACAAUGGCUGGUACAGAGGGUUGCCAACCCGCGAGGGGGAGCCAAUCCCAUAAAGCCAGUCGUAGUCCGGAUCGCAGUCUGCAACUCGACUGCGUGAAGUCGGAAUCGCUAGUAAUCGCGGAUCAGAAUGUCGCGGUGAAUACGUUCCCGGGUCUUGUACACACCGCCCGUCACACCAUGGGAGCGGGUUCUGCCAGAAGUAGUUAGCCUAACCGCAAGGAGGGCGAUUACCACGGCAGGGUUCGUGACUGGGGUGAAGUCGUAA